UAGACUAGAGUCUAGAGAUUCUAGAUCUAGAUCACUACCAAAGGCAGCCACUAAUGUAGAAUAGAUCUAGAUUUCUAGAUAUACUAAAUCUAAAACAUAUAGAUCUAGUAUAGAUAUAUUCUAACACAAACUUCAUAAAUAUUUAUUAACAUGCGACGUGUUGGCGAUGGCGCCGAUGGAUGGGCUACACGACACGUGAUCAUCGUGAUGUCAGUUUUAGUUUAAGUCAAGUUUUAUGUCAGUCAGAGGCAGGUGCAAUCGGAAUCACUGCAAUGUCGCAAUGUGAAAGAGAUUAAUGAGAAUGUCAUCAUGAUUGAGACUCAUCAUCUCAUUGUAAAAAAUGUGGACAAGUCAAAUACUGAAUUAUGAAUAGAAUCGACAAACAGUCAAUCACUCAAUAGAUCAAGUCAAGUUCUAGUAGAUGCUGAGCUUGUGUGUGGAGGGAGUCAGACCCAAGGGCCGCCCAAAACUGACCUUACCUUAUAGAGAAGUCUCAGCAAGUGAAACAUGAGAGCCACAGACAUCAACGAAAGUAUGUGGGAAGAAAUAGCUAAAGACUGGAGUGCAUGGAGACAGACUGUGUGUGCUGGGAUGAUCCUCGCUGGCUGAGAGCAAAAGAAAUGAAGCGGUCUUAAUCAAGGAAAAACAUCUGCUGCCCUGUCAGCUAGACCUGAAUCAGGAUUCAGAUGCGUACACAUGCAUGAAUUGUGGUAAAGUCUGCUGCUCUAGCAUUGGCUUGAUUAGCCAUACCAGAUUCUGCCCCGUCACAAGACAAAACCAAAACCAGUGAUUCAUCUGGGCCCAUCAAUUGCCUUCUGAGACAAAAAGGAGCCAUAUAUAUAAUAAUAUAGUUCUAGUACAAAAUGUAUGGUUGUUUUGGUCCAGUUGUACUGUGUAGAGAGAAAAGUCAGUCAACCAAUAAAGGCAUGCUGCAUUAUGAUGAACCCUUUAGGCCGCUCCUCAGGUAGAUGAUACUCACCUUGGAAUGCAGAUGUUCAUGUACUAUGAGCCUGCUCGUAUUGGACAAUUGUGAAAAAGUUGGACUAUUACAAAGAGAAGAACAUUCACACAGACCUCUAUGAUAUGAAUAAAACAGUGGAGUACACAUAUUUGCUCAAUUCAGAGGUUAGUGGAAUCUUAAGUAUCAAAGUAUAAUUUAGUUUGUUCACGAUCUUAGUAAAUGUUCUACUAUUAUGUAACGAUCAAAGGGAGAGAAGGGGUUAUAAAAAUUUGUUACAAUCAGGAGGGGGGUCUGAAGAUUUAUGAAACAAAACAAAAAAUAUUGAAAUUACAGGUCUAGUGUUCCCUUGACUUUCGCUGGUGUAACGUUUGCAGAAGGGCUAUACCUUAGGUUUUCAAAUAUUAUUGUUGGGAAAAAAAAAACUUCACGUUUUUUUCUUUUUGAACAUCAUGGGUUUUCUGGUGGCCUCCUAAUGUAUAUUUACAGUAUUGGAAAAAUAAUGAAUACAUCAUAACUCUGAAAGAAGUCAAUACUUUCUCCAUCAUUUUUAUAGAUACUAUGAUGAAAAAUGUAAUGUAAUUUGUGACAAUAUGAAAUAAGUCAAUCAAUUUUAAAAUUAGAAUUUCGGGGGGGGGGGGGGGAGGGGGGGAGUUAAGUUUUCUUAAGAUUUGUUGCCACAGAGGCUGCUGGUUAAAAAAAGGUGCUUAUUGCCUUACUUAAUAUCUGAACGAGCCCUUAUUCUAGUGCUGGGAAAUUAAAAAAAAAAUGAUAGUGAAUAGCAAUACUCAGUGCUGUGUUGAGGUCUCAGAUCAGAGAACACAUUGUCUUUGACAUCCUUUUUUAUUUCAACUUAACUGAAACCCUUUUCAUGACAAGUAUUGUGCUGAGACCAUUCCCUUAGAUAUAUGAAAUAAAUCAGGCAGUGUGUUUUAAGGUCUCUUUGUCCCAUAACGAAGAAUAACCUUUAGCUAAAUAAAAGACAUUUCUUCCUCUCUCAACUCCUUGUCCUGUAUUUUGCAAUGGUUGCAUUGUGUGUUGUUCUCUUUGAAUUAACCCUAAGUACAUGUUGAUGGAGCAUUGACCUAAACUGGCUAGGACCACAUGUUCUUCUCACUUUAAUUUCCACCAAGCAUCUUUGCAGCUUGGUUUCUUCAUCUGCCUCCCUAAUUCUCUGCCCUUUUCUGACUUAUGCCAGGUAUCUAACCAAAGAGUCUGUUCCCUUUCAUAGAAGAGUGGUGCAGCAGACAUGCCUACAGUCCCGCAUUAUGCGGAACCGUCCCGCAAAAGCAUCAAAAAAGCUCACAUGUUCCGCCGUUCCGCAUUUACGUUUUUUUGUUCCGCCAAGUCUGAAUUCCGACACAAAAAAAAAAAAAAUCGCCGAUUUUUCAUUAUUUAUUAAUAGUGCGAAAUGAAAAUACUGAAUGAAAAUAAAAUAUAUAUAGGUCUGUGUUUAUUGUUUACAUUUCAUCUUCCCCCAGGACCCGGUGUGUCCUAAAUUUACGAAGAUAUGGUUGAGUGAGCUAGAUUGCUGCUAGAUCUAGACAUAGAUCUAGAUCUAGUACUCUAGGUCUAGAUACUAGAUCUAUUCUUAGAAUCUAGUAAGUGCUAAUAAGCCAAAUGUUCUAUUCAAAUCCCUUUCUUUUCCCGACAAUGGCUCUACUCUAUUAG
Biomphalaria glabrata is the source of this 2629-nucleotide long non-coding RNA. RefSeq lists it as uncharacterized. Lineage: Eukaryota; Metazoa; Mollusca; Gastropoda; Planorbidae. The transcript has 6 exons. The record is from RefSeq and is a predicted model, not a curated record.